GUCAUUAAGAGCAGCUGUGUCAGCUUUGC
RNAcentral lists this non-coding RNA (29 nucleotides) under Cricetulus griseus (Chinese hamster). Lineage: Eukaryota; Metazoa; Chordata; Mammalia; Rodentia; Cricetidae. The record is from RNAcentral.